RNAcentral lists this ribosomal RNA (694 nucleotides) under uncultured bacterium. RNAcentral describes it as "bacterial SSU rRNA". It matches the Rfam family "Bacterial small subunit ribosomal RNA", at positions 32 to 715 of the family's 1533-position model. The record is from RNAcentral.
AACGCUAGCUACAGGCUUAACACAUGCAAGUCGCAGGGUAACGAGAGGGAAGCUUGCUUUCCUUGUCGACGACCGGCGCACGGGUGAGUAACGCGUAUCCAACCUGCCCAUUACCACGGGAUACCCCGUCGAAAGGCGGCCUAAUACCGUAUGCAGUCGUCAGAUGACAUCAGAGGACGACGAAAGGAUUGGCGGUAAUGGAUGGGGAUGCGUCUGAUUAGCUUGUUGGCGGGGUAACGGCCCACCAAGCCAUCGAUCAGUAGGGGUUCUGAGAGGAAGGUCCCCCACAUUGGAACUGAGACACGGUCCAAACUCCUACGGGAGGCAGCAGUGAGGAAUAUUGGUCAAUGGGCGCGAGCCUGAACCAGCCAAGUAGCGCGAGGGAUGACGGCCCUAUGGGUUGUAAACCUCUUUUAUGCGGGAAUAAAAUGUUUGACGUGUCAUACAUUGUAGGUACCGCAAGAAUAAGGACCGGCUAAUUCCGUGCCAGCAGCCGCGGUAAUACGGAAGGUCCAGGCGUUAUCCGGAUUUAUUGGGUUUAAAGGGAGCGUAGGCCGCAAGUCAAGCGUGUUGUGAAAUGCAGGGGCUCAACCUCUGGAUUGCAGCGCGAACUGGCAUGCUUGAGUACGCACGAGGUAGGCGGAAUUUGUGGUGUAGCGGUGAAAUGCUUAGAUAUCACGAAGAACUCCGAUUG